GAAAUCAACCGAGAUUCCCCCAGUAGCGGCGAGCGAACGGGGAGCAGCCCAGAGCCUGAAUCAGUGUGUGUGUUAGUGGAAGCGUCUGGAAAGGCGCGCGAUACAGGGUGACAGCCCCGUACACAAAAAUGCACAUAUUGUGAGCUCGAUGAGUAGGGCGGGACACGUGGUAUCCUGUCUGAAUAUGGGGGGACCAUCCUCCAAGGCUAAAUACUCCUGACUGACCGAUAGUGAACCAGUACCGUGAGGGAAAGGCGAAAAGAACCCCGGCGAGGGGAGUGAAAAAGAACCUGAAACCGUGUACGUACAAGCAGUGGGAGCACGCUUAGGCGUGUGACUGCGUACCUUUUGUAUAAUGGGUCAGCGACUUAUAUUCUGUAGCAAGGUUAACCGAAUAGGGGAGCCGAAGGGAAACCGAGUCUUAACUGGGCGUUAAGUUGCAGGGUAUAGACCCGAAACCCGGUGAUCUAGCCAUGGGCAGGUUGAAGGUUGGGUAACACUAACUGGAGGACCGAACCGACUAAUGUUGAAAAAUUAGCGGAUGACUUGUGGCUGGGGGUGAAAGGCCAAUCAAACCGGGAGAUAGCUGGUUCUCCCCGAAAGCUAUUUAGGUAGCGCCUCGUGAAUUCAUCUCCGGGGGUAGAGCACUGUUUCGGCAAGGGGGUCAUCCCGACUUACCAACCCGAUGCAAACUGCGAAUACCGGAGAAUGUUAUCACGGGAGACACACGGCGGGUGCUAACGUCCGUCGUGAAGAGGGAAACAACCCAGACCGCCAGCUAAGGUCCCAAAGUCAUGGUUAAGUGGGAAACGAUGUGGGAAGGCCCAGACAGCCAGGAUGUUGGCUUAGAAGCAGCCAUCAUUUAAAGAAAGCGUAAUAGCUCACUGGUCGAGUCGGCCUGCGCGGAAGAUGUAACGGGGCUAAACCAUGCACCGAAGCUGCGGCAGCGACGCUUAUGCGUUGUUGGGUAGGGGAGCGUUCUGUAAGCCUGCGAAGGUGUGCUGUGAGGCAUGCUGGAGGUAUCAGAAGUGCGAAUGCUGACAUAAGUAACGAUAAAGCGGGUGAAAAGCCCGCUCGCCGGAAGACCAAGGGUUCCUGUCCAACGUUAAUCGGGGCAGGGUGAGUCGACCCCUAAGGCGAGGCCGAAAGGCGUAGUCGAUGGGAAACAGGUUAAUAUUCCUGUACUUGGUGUUACUGCGAAGGGGGGACGGAGAAGGCUAUGUUGGCCGGGCGACGGUUGUCCCGGUUUAAGCGUGUAGGCUGGUUUUCCAGGCAAAUCCGGAAAAUCAAGGCUGAGGCGUGAUGACGAGGCACUACGGUGCUGAAGCAACAAAUGCCCUGCUUCCAGGAAAAGCCUCUAAGCAUCAGGUAACAUCAAAUCGUACCCCAAACCGACACAGGUGGUCAGGUAGAGAAUACCAAGGCGCUUGAGAGAACUCGGGUGAAGGAACUAGGCAAAAUGGUGCCGUAACUUCGGGAGAAGGCACGCUGAUAUGUAGGUGAAGUCCCUUGCGGAUGGAGCUGAAAUCAGUCGAAGAUACCAGCUGGCUGCAACUGUUUAUUAAAAACACAGCACUGUGCAAACACGAAAGUGGACGUAUACGGUGUGACGCCUGCCCGGUGCCGGAAGGUUAAUUGAUGGGGUCAGCGCAAGCGAAGCUCUUGAUCGAAGCCCCGGUAAACGGCGGCCGUAACUAUAACGGUCCUAAGGUAGCGAAAUUCCUUGUCGGGUAAGUUCCGACCUGCACGAAUGGCGUAAUGAUGGCCAGGCUGUCUCCACCCGAGACUCAGUGAAAUUGAACUCGCUGUGAAGAUGCAGUGUACCCGCGGCAAGACGGAAAGACCCCGUGAACCUUUACUAUAGCUUGACACUGAACAUUGAGCCUUGAUGUGUAGGAUAGGUGGGAGGCUUUGAAGUGUGGACGCCAGUCUGCAUGGAGCCGGCCUUGAAAUACCACCCUUUAAUGUUUGAUGUUCUAACGUGGACCCGUGAUCCGGGUUGCGGACAGUGUCUGGUGGGUAGUUUGACUGGGGCGGUCUCCUCCUAAAGAGUAACGGAGGAGCACGAAGGUUGGCUAAUCCUGGUCGGACAUCAGGAGGUUAGUGCAAUGGCAUAAGCCAGCUUGACUGCGAGCGUGACGGCGCGAGCAGGUGCGAAAGCAGGUCAUAGUGAUCCGGUGGUUCUGAAUGGAAGGGCCAUCGCUCAACGGAUAAAAGGUACUCCGGGGAUAACAGGCUGAUACCGCCCAAGAGUUCAUAUCGACGGCGGUGUUUGGCACCUCGAUGUCGGCUCAUCACAUCCUGGGGCUGAAGUAGGUCCCAAGGGUAUGGCUGUUCGCCAUUUAAAGUGGUACGCGAGCUGGGUUUAGAACGUCGUGAGACAGUUCGGUCCCUAUCUGCCGUGGGCGCUGGAGAACUGAGGGGGGCUGCUCCUAGUACGAGAGGACCGGAGUGGACGCAUCACUGGUGUUCGGGUUGUCAUGCCAAUGGCACUGCCCGGUAGCUAAAUGCGGAAGAGAUAAGUGCUGAAAGCAUCUAAGCACGAAACUUGCCCCGAGAUGAGUUCUCCCUGACCCUUUAAGGGUCCUGAAGGAACGUUGAAGACGACGACGUUGAUAGGCCGGGUGUGUAAGCGCAGCGAUGCGUUGAGCUAACCGGUACUAAUGAACCGUGAG
This 2675-nucleotide ribosomal RNA is filed under the name Shigella sonnei. Its description in RNAcentral is "partial 23S ribosomal RNA". It matches the Rfam family "Bacterial large subunit ribosomal RNA". Lineage: Bacteria; Pseudomonadati; Pseudomonadota; Gammaproteobacteria; Enterobacterales; Enterobacteriaceae. The record is from RNAcentral.